UACGAAGGGGGCUAGCGUUGCUCGGAAUCACUGGGCGUAAAGCGCACGUAGGCGGAUUGUUAAGUCAGGGGUGAAAUCCUGGAGCUCAACUCCAGAACUGCCUUUGAUACUGGCGAGCUUGAGUCCGGGAGAGGUGAGUGGAACUGUGAGUGUAGAGGUGAAAUUCGUAGAUAUUCGCAAGAACACCAGUGGCGAAGGCGGCUCACUGGCCCGGUACUGACGCUGAGGUGCGAAAGCGUGGGGAGCAAACAGG
RNAcentral lists this ribosomal RNA (253 nucleotides) under uncultured bacterium. RNAcentral describes it as "partial 16S ribosomal RNA". It matches the Rfam family "Bacterial small subunit ribosomal RNA", at positions 524 to 776 of the family's 1533-position model. The record is from RNAcentral.